UCUAAAAAUAUUUAAUUUUUGGUAGAAGAGGAUGACAUUUAUAAAUAAUAAAUAAUAGUAAUAAAAUCAUAACAUAUUUGUUUCAUGUAAAGAGAAGAUAAUAUGUCAAAAGUUGACAAGUUUGUUUAUGUUUUUUUCAAUUUUCUUUGCAUAAUUCUUUUUGCAAUGAACGUUGAAUGUAAGCCAUUUAUUUUUAUCAUUUACAAAUUUGUUUAUUUAAUUUCUAUUUUUAAUGUUUUAUCUCACUAACUUAGUAACAUUCUUUUUUCACUGCAGCAUAUAUUAAUUGUACUAGCGAUUCUGAUUGUCCAGAGUUUUUGUGCAGCUAUCCUAUAAAACCGAAGUGUUUAACAUUGAAAAGAAUGGACAUGAUUAUAGGGGGAAAAUGUGCAUGUCUUUCAUAAAUGUGCAUAUAAUCUCUUGCUACAAAUUUUAUGAAUCGUCAUUAAGUUAUUAAGUUAUUGUUUUGACAUUCAAAUAUUUUAAAAUUUUCUUUUUUCUUCUAAAGAAAAACGUAGUUUUGGGAUUUGUACUCUGAAAUAGCUGUAAUGAAAUGAAAUAAUGCAUUGAAUUGAUAUUUAUAUUAUGUUCUAACUGAUAUCAUGAACUAUUAUUACUCACAUCUUGUUGAUCCUCAAUUUCCUAUUCUAAUUUAUAGUAUAGUUUUAGAGCUAACUAAAUUAAGUCGUGCUAGGUGAGGUUUUGCAUCGUUCCCUAUGCAUGACAAUGACAAAUAAUCUAUACAUCCACUUGCAAGGAGGAAUAACUUAGCUAGUCGGAAGUAGAUGAACCAACGGUUAAAGAAGUAAGAAGUUCAUGAUUCCAUCUCUCGCAAAGAAAAGAAAUACAAAAUUUACAGUUAAAUACUAAUAACUUCUCAUUAAAAAAAAUCUAUUCCUCCUCUUGAAUUGUACACACUAUUAGAAACUCACUUAUUUCUUGCAUAUAAUGGCAAAAAAUAUGCAGGAAAUGGUUUUCCUUUAAAAAAAAUUAUAAUAUCAGAUAUUAAACGUGGUACGAAAUAUAAUACAAUAGUAAAGUUACAUUAGUACAUGAGUUUGCAUCCAUACAAGGCAUGUUCGAAAUAGUACAAACAUGAUAAAAGGUACAAUAGAAGAAAAUAACUUACGCUAAAGUAAGAUCUUCAUCGUGACAUCUUCAAGUCGUCGUGUCCUUACCUUUAGCACCUGACAGAAUACAUGUAAUCAUUAUAAUAAGAUGGAGUGAGAUACGGGAUUCUCAUAUUUAAGAGUCCACUCGAUCAAUGGGUUUCUAUCGGUCGAUAUGACUUUAGUGAAACAUCAACCUCCAAACCUAAGGUUUAUUACUUUAAUUCUUAAUAAAUAUACAUGAUUCUUCAAUGAUUGGUAUAAAGUUAGUUAUGAGUAGUUAGUCGUUACAUGAAAUCGGGAUUUUACACUUAAGUAACCGAGGCAUAUCCUCGAAGCCGCUGAAACUAGGAUACAUGUGAAGCUAAGUAAGUAAUUCGUC
Molecule: long non-coding RNA, 1491 nt
Filed under: Lathyrus oleraceus (garden pea)
Lineage: Eukaryota; Viridiplantae; Streptophyta; Magnoliopsida; Fabales; Fabaceae
Description: Pisum sativum (pea) long non-coding RNA (PSAT_LNC029896)
Source: RNAcentral